This 253-nucleotide ribosomal RNA is filed under the name uncultured bacterium. RNAcentral's name for it is "partial 16S ribosomal RNA". It matches the Rfam family "Bacterial small subunit ribosomal RNA", at positions 524 to 776 of the family's 1533-position model. The record is from RNAcentral.
UACGGGGGGGGCAAGCGUUGUUCGGAGUUACUGGGCGGAAAGGGCUCGUAGGCGGCCAACUAAGUCAUACGUGAAAUCCCUCGGCUUAACCGGGGAACUGCGUCUGAUACUGGAUGGCUUGAGUUCGGGAGAGGGAUGCGGAAUUCCAGGUGUAGCGGUGAAAUGCGUAGAUAUCUGGAGGAACACCGGUGGCGAAGGCGGCAUCCUGGACCGAUACUGACGCUGAGGGGCGAAAGCCAGGGGAGCAAACGGG